UAAAAUAUUAUUGUGAAAAAGACUAUUGUGAAAGGGACAGAACUGAGCGCUUACUUACCCAUCAGCUCCAUAUCGAUGCCGGGGUCUUUGUUCAACGACUUGGGAUUGCUGAACAUAUCAAUGUAUUUGCAACGUUCUGGAAAAAUAUUUUUUGUAAAUAUUUUUUAUUAUUGGUCGAGGGCCCGUUUGCGAUUGGCGAAAUAGUGUUUUAAGUGAAUAUGCCAAUAAAGGAAUAAAAAUUAAUAAUUAAUAAAGAAAAAUGAAAAAACAUAGGAAAAAAUGUAUUUAAUAAAAUUAAUAAAGUAUUAUUAAUUAAAGUGUAUUUGGAAUAUAAUAAAUAUGUGAUUCAUGAAAAAAGGAAAGAUAGUGCAGAACAAUUAAAAUGGUGCAAGAAUAUUAAUAUAGUGAAUUUCAAUGUGAUAAAUAAGUGAAAGCAAAUUAUUUAACAGAAAUAGUUUAAUUUGCCGUUAAACGCCGAUAAUUUCUAUCACGGACGUGAGUUGCAGAAGAGCAGAGACACCUGCUCAGCUCAUUUCGAUUUAUGAGUGAAUAGAAAGCGUUGAAUUUCACUCAAAUGACGACUAUUUGCCGAGCAAAAAUCAUCAGGUGUGAACAUCGCUCGACUUUUUCAAAUUUUCAAAUGGAUUAUGCGCAGAAUCUCUUAAUAUCCUAUGCUUGGGAGAGAUGAAAACUUUCAGAGCAGCGUUUGGCGCAAACACUCAGCUGCGACACUGAAACGUCAACUGCGAGCGAAGCAACAGCAGCUGUCACCGUUGCAAAGGACGGAACAUUC
This is a long non-coding RNA of Bactrocera tryoni, 793 nucleotides long. RefSeq lists it as uncharacterized. NCBI's taxonomy places the organism in Eukaryota, Metazoa, Arthropoda, Insecta, Diptera, Tephritidae. The transcript has 5 exons. The record is from RefSeq and is a predicted model, not a curated record.